This is a non-coding RNA of Pelobates cultripes (western spadefoot toad), 1155 nucleotides long. Lineage: Eukaryota; Metazoa; Chordata; Amphibia; Anura; Pelobatidae. The record is from the annotation of a GenBank genome assembly.
UGAUAGUCCAUUAAUAUGUUCACAAAACCAGAGCGUCAGGGGUAGAGUCACGACCACGUAGAAUGCACGCAGAAACGACAGCAGGCAAACAGGCCCUGAAGCUGAUGUGAGGCUGGCUUUAAAGAUAGUAAAGGGAGCUACAGAUGUAAUGAAUAGCUGCAGAUGAGUCUGCAGUAAUGAAUACCCCCAGAUGUGCAGGAUAAGCUGCAAACAAACUGACAGGUGUCAAACUGCAGUGACUCACAGGUAGAGAAACUGACUGGAAACAGAGAGGACCAGAAUUCCAGCCAGAUCUCCCAAAGGGGGCCAUGCCUAGCAGUCUGCCGAGAUGAGGACAAACUAUGACGGGGGCUCACUCCAAAACAUUAGUUCAUUUCAUGAUUACUAUAACUUUCUCAGGCCUGGAUUUAAUGUAUUUGGAUAAAUUUUUCAAAUAGUCUCAACCUAUCAGAAAACAUUUCAAAUAAUUUAUCUACAAAUGAUGGGCUCCGUAGAUGUUUGCAGUUCAGCGAACAUUACUCAUGUUGUAUGUUUUCUUUGUGUGGGGUUACUCUUUAGAAUAGCAGUUUGUUUCACCCAUGUGAGAGUGCCAAUAUUUUUAUCUUUGGAAAAGUCAAAUUCUCCAAUAUGUGAGCAAAUUAUCUAACAUAACACAAUGCUCAUCCCUCCACAGCAAUCACCGACUAAAUAUGGGAGUACGGACUUAUCUGACCUUCUAUGGCUAUGGGAAGAAAUAUAUAUUAACUGAAACAUUUAGAAAUGAUACAAACUAUGGAAGACAAUAUAUUGUGCUCACAUUAGAUUAGCACUUUGUGCAUCUUUAUGUGAGAUAUAGGAAACUUGGGUAAUUAAAAUUAAAGGAUUACGUCCGAGAACCAUGACCACUUUUGGUCAGCUCGACCACAUUCACUUUGAAACGCUACACACACAGAGAUUCACCCCUUAGCUGCCAGAGGUAUAACUCCACCAACCAGCGUUAUUAGUCAGCCAAGAACACAAUUUCAAUGACCCAGACCAGAACAUAGUUCCGGGCUGGCAAAUGUAAAUUUUGUGAAAAAUUGUUGCCUAAAGUUGAAAGUUCAAUUUGAAUGCACAUUUCUUUACUAUAUUUCUUGAAAUUGUCUUCCCAUCUGAAUCUCUGAACCACAGGCAAUG